AUUUGACGCAAUGUUAGGAUUUUAAAUUUUAAAACACCAAUUUAACAACUUGUUCAAUUUUGACACUUUUUUCAUUUCCGGCAAAUUAAAAUCUGACGUGGCGCCUACGUGUCUCGCCGCCACACUCCUCGCCGUUUGCCAGACAAAACACGAAACGACGUCAUUUUUUUUAAAAUAAAACGACAUCGUUUUAUACUUUUCAUUAUGUAACCCCAA
Molecule: long non-coding RNA, 216 nt
Filed under: Salvia miltiorrhiza (redroot sage)
Lineage: Eukaryota; Viridiplantae; Streptophyta; Magnoliopsida; Lamiales; Lamiaceae
Description: long non-coding RNA (SMIL_LNC003061)
Source: RNAcentral